UUGGACUGUCCAUCACUGUCCUAGGCCCCACCCUUUCUCUUACUUAAACCAUGUCACCAAAACUUUUAUUGUCUUCUACACCUCUCCAAGUCAAUCAUUAGACAACCAAUUCCCCCUCCAAUGCCAUCAUUUCUCUUUAACCAUUUCAAAUUAACAAUGACAUGUAUUGAAAUGGUUAAGGUGAUUCAAAUGAGUGGAAUCUUGCAUAUAUAUAGCAUAAUUUAGAUCAAACAUUCCCCUCUUUACCCGACCCCGCCUGUAGCCCAAAAAAAGUUUGAUUCUCUAUUUUUCUAUUUGUUGGUAUUAGUCUUUUACAUGUUUUGUUCCAAACUUUUGUGCAUUUCGGGAUCCAAGGUUUGUUCGUCGUUGAGCUCAUAGGAUAGAUUGCUCUAGAGGAUGAGUAGGCCUGGUUAUUGGACCGGGCUGUCCAAUGGCAUAAGGGUCAUGCUAUUACUAAAGGGUUUUAUGACCCUUUAUUCCUAAAUGAAAAGGGCUCUUAUUGGGUUUUAAAUGAAAAGGGCUCUUAUUGGCUCUUAUUGGGUCUUAUUGGGUCCACUAAAAUCAGUAAAGGGUCUCUCAUUUUUUUUCUCUCUCCUCUCUCCUCUCUCCUCUCUCUUUCUCUUUCUCUUUCUCUUUCUCGACAAAAUUUUGGGGAAAAAAUUAGGGCGAAAUUCCACACUCUUUUCCUCAUUCAUCAUAUUUAAGAAUGAUGGGGGAUGAUGCUACAAAUUUAACGGGGCCAGAACGUGAUGAUGGGUAUACUGAGUAUGGCGUGCGCAGCAGCGAAAGAGAAAGAAAAGGUCUAAAGUUUGGAAGGAACUUAUCGAAGGAAAGAAUGCUCAAGGUGAGAGAAUAGCUACUUGCACGUAUUGUAAGUUAGAAUUGUCAGCACAACGUGAUUAUGGCACUUCUCACUUAAAGCGACACUUAGAAAGAUGUUUACUUAGGCCUCUUGAAUUUAGGAAUGAGGAUGAUAGUGAUGGGGAUAAUUAUGUGUUUAAUAUGGCUGAGCUUAGAGCAGAUAUUAUUAAUUUCAUAGUAGAAGGAGCUCAUUCUUUUUCUAUAGUUGAAGAAAAUGGAUUUAAGAGAAUGAUGGCUAGAGCUAACUGUAACUUUGUUCCAUUUGGUCGUGCAACUGUAAAAAGGGAUUUAUUGUCUUCUUAUGUGGUAGAAAGGGAUGAAUUGAAAGAUAUGUUGUCUAAAGUUUCGGGUCGAGUUUCUUUAACAACGGAUAAUUGGAAGUGUAAUCAUACUAGGCAACAAUUCGACAUGUAUUUAGAUGAUGAUGUUCUUGAUCUCAACUGUGAGUUGGACAUUUUAGAGUUUUGGCAUCAAAGUUCUGUGAGAUAUCCUGUUCUUUCAAAAAUGGCACGAGAUUUGUUGACUAUUCCCGUGAGUAUUGUGGCUUCGGAAUCCGCCUUUAGUAUUGGAGGAAAGACUAUUUCGGCCUCUCGUGGCUCCUUGAAGUCGAAAACAGAUCAAGCUCUAGUAUGUAUGCAAGAUUGGCAUCGUGCAAAGUACAACAUUGAAGAUACGGAGGAGGUUGAUUAUGGGUUUAACGAUGAAAUUGAUGGAGAAGAGGAGGAAGACGACGUGGAUCCCUUUUUUUAGAAGUCGAAGAUUUGGAUUUUUGUGAAGAAGCAAGGCGAAGAGAAGUGCAGAAGACAUGUUUUCCAUGUUUUAGAUACUAGAAGCUUAAGUUUUUGUUGUUUUUAUUUUUAUUUUUAUUUUUAUUUUUGGAUUGAAGGAAUAUUUUUAGUGUUGAGAUAAUUUGGUUUGUCUUCAGAUUUUGGGUUACGUUUAAUGCUAUAAUUAUUGUCGUUUUAUUGUUA
Long non-coding RNA from Beta vulgaris subsp. vulgaris (sugar beet), 1832 nucleotides. RefSeq lists it as uncharacterized. NCBI's taxonomy places the organism in Eukaryota, Viridiplantae, Streptophyta, Magnoliopsida, Caryophyllales, Amaranthaceae. The transcript is spliced from 3 exons. The record is from RefSeq and is a predicted model, not a curated record.